GCUUGGGAUGAUGACACCUGUGAGCUUUCGGUGAAAUACGUCCGUGUGGAAAACGACUUCCUCCGUACAAUGGUUCCUACCGCAUUUCUGCACACGAGUGGAGUUUUGCCUUCGACUGCAGCUCACAGAUCACAGAACAGAAGUGAUGCCUUGGCUUCACACAUACACAGAGUGGUGUGAGCAGAUUAGCAGCCAGAAGCCACCCAGCUACUCCUCCAGACUUCAAGCUUGAAAACCCCCAAUUCACAGAGCUGAGACGUAACAGCAAAUUGAGCUCGGGGAAUGUGGCUUUGGUUUUGUUUGCUCUGGCCAGGAGAUGAGCUUGACUGCUCAGUGCUGCUUGCUCGAACCCAGAAGAGCGAGAAAAAAGGAGGAGCGAGCCGAGAGCCAAGCCGGUGUCAGAACCAGGAAAUAUCUGGGCUGGGUUUUGAACAGCGAGAGUGGGAAAAGCUGGGCGACUCCCUGCCGCAAGGCACUGGCACAUUUCUCUGUUCGCUGCUUGUGUGUCUAACUGUGUGUCCGACUGAAUUUUUAACUGUGAGUGUUGUCUUUAUACCUGUCUCUUAAAUGAACCGCUGCUCUCUUCACUUGCCUUAGCGGACAGUCCCGUCUGUCUCCCUGACAUUUGCUUCUUUCGUACCUGGCUGUCGUGUAUCGGCCCAAAUGUACAAUGCCUCAUUUUCAAGAAACGUUAGGUUCAGUUUCUAAAUCAGGAUCUGCAAUUUUACUGUAUAUGUUCAACAGCAGGCGAUAAUGAAGUAUCGCCUCUUGUGUAACGGAGUCGAGCUUUUGCCUGACUCCACGUACGUUGUUUUUUAAGUAAACUUAAAAUGUUAACUUGAGUUAACUUCAAAUAUAUAGAAGGUUAUGCAAAAGGGGUUUGUCGUCUUAUGAUCAGGCUCAAUGGUAUAUGUGUGGUAUGAAUAUGUAUGGCUGAUGUGGAGGUAUUGAUAGAUUUUACAAAGAAAAAGGUUUAAACUGAAGAAAGACAGAUAUUAGGAAUAAAUAAACAUAAGGAACAAUAAUAUGAGACAAAGGACAACUGAGAGAAAAGGACUCCCAUCAUGGUUUUAUCACAAUGUUGAAAAAGCAGUUUCCCCAUCUUCAGUGUGUGUGUGUGUGUGUGUGUGUGUGUGUGUCUGUCUGUCUGUCUGUCUGUCCACAUGUUUGCUCUGUGUAGUCGGGGGACCUCCCAGUGAGUGGACGGUCCACAAGACAGAAUAUGGGCACUAAAAGACUCACACGUAGACAGACAGAGACAGACACACUGACGGUCUUUGUCUAGAGAUUGUAAAUGUUGUAAAACAGAAACACGUCAAUUUGAAUCAAGUCAAUUUCUUAUUUUGCACAACAUCGAAACGUUGAUGAGACAGUUUUUGUAUAGAGCAGGUCCAGACCACACUCUCUGCCUCAGGAUGUUACACCUCCUUCAAAUAAAAGUUCUGGAAGCGUUUGGGGGGAAAAGAUUUUUCUCAGAUCAGUCCAAAUGAAAUCACCUUCCAGAAAUAAGAUCAUCAGACCUGUCAAGUCACGUAUCAUUACUUUAAUGUGCAUAUUUUUUGUUUUUUUAUGCUGCAUUUUAUUCUGACAUACUCUUGUAAUCCCUCCCUUUUAAUAACUUGUUGAUAUCUAGUGUGAUAUUUGUAUUAGAAGUAUUCGCAACUGUAACACUGAAUGUCCGCCACUCCAUCUCCAUCAAUAAUUAAACAAGUAUUUCUUAUUCUGAUGUAACACUAUAGUAGCUCAUAUUAUACCAUAUAUAUGUUAUAUUAUGUUAAUGUAAGCUUUUGUGUUGUGGAUCAAUUGGGUGUAAUAAUGUACACAAGAAGAGGUAUUUCUUUUUGUUUGAAUACAAUCAAAUGAAACACCAAUUCAUUUAGAAUAGAUUGAUUGGUAGGAAAUGAUGUGCUAACAAUGAUUGGGGGGAAAAUGAGUCCAUAUAUAAUAAUCAAUAUGAUUAAAAUGGCACAACACAUUAAUGUCUGUUAGGAUUAGCAUUUAAACUCUAUUACAAAUUGAAAGAUAAAACUGCUCUAUAGUAAAAAGAAAAUCCCAACUCCUCUUUUGUAAUAACAAACUCCCAAAGAGUCUAAAAGCACUGAGAGCAACAAUUCAUGAUGCUUUAGUAAAUCACUUCUCUCUCUUUUUGAAAUGUUUCAUGGGUAAGCAAUGACUCAGCAACGGGUUUAGCUCUUUUUAUAUAUAAACCUGUCCCGUUUUAUGGACAACACACCCAAAAUAUUUGGUCAUGUUUGAUCUCCUUCUAUCUGGUGGCCAACAUGUGGAGUUAAACUUUCCUUCUCUUUCAGCAAAAACAAAGUGUGCAGACACAUGCACGCACACGCGCACACACAAACGUACACACACGCACACACACACACACAAAAAUCUUCUUUUCAACCGAAAUAAAUGUUUAUAGCAUUCCAAACAUUUUGUGUGUCAGACAGUAUGUGUGGUCCUGUCUGCACCUAGCAUGAGGUUUGAGGUUAAGGUGUUUGUCUGCUGGUGUGUGUGCAUGUCCAUGAUGUGUGCGUGUGUAUGUGUGUGUGAGAGAGAGAGAGAGAGUAGAAACAAUGAACUGAGGAACACCCAUGCUUGCUUCCGAGAUGUUUGUGUUUUGAAAAAAAUGGAGAAAGAGAAAUAAGAACAACAAGAAAAAAGAAAGAAAAAAAAAGUCUGGGGGUAAUUUACCGGAUCCAAGCUGUUUGGGAACAUUGUGGCAUGGAGGUUAGCACAGAAACAAAUAUUGAGGGCAAGUUGAAAAUUCAGCAAAGGGGAGAAUGUUGACAGAACUGUUGGAGGUCGCACAAAAUGGUGAGAGGAACACACACUUUCAUACUUCCUAAGAAACAAACAGAUGGUACGUGCUCAAUUCUGAAAGGACUAACACUGGUCAAGGACAUUCAAAAUGUGG
Molecule: long non-coding RNA, 2914 nt
Organism: Acanthopagrus latus (yellowfin seabream)
Lineage: Eukaryota; Metazoa; Chordata; Actinopteri; Spariformes; Sparidae
Exons: 3
Source: RefSeq, a predicted model, not a curated record